GACGAACGCUGGCGGCGUGCUUAACACAUGCAAGUCGAACGGUGAUGCUCCAGCUUGCUGGCGUGGAUCAGUGGCGAACGGGUGAGUAACACGUGAGCAAUCUGCCCCAGACUCUGGAAUAAGCGCUGGAAACGGCGUCUAAUACUGGAUACGAAACUGGCCCGCAUGGGCAUGGUUUGGAAAGUUUUUCGGUUUGGGAUGGGCUCGCGGCCUAUCAGCUUGUUGGUGAGGUAAUGGCUCACCAAGGCGACGACGGGUAGCCGGCCUGAGAGGGCGACCGGCCACACUGGGACUGAGACACGGCCCAGACUCCUACGGGAGGCAGCAGUGGGGAAUAUUGCACAAUGGGCGAAAGCCUGAUGCAGCGACGCCGCGUGAGGGAUGACGGCCUUCGGGUUGUAAACCUCUUUCAGCAGGGAAGAAGCGAAAGUGACGGUACCUGCAGAAGAAGCACCGGCUAACUACGUG
Molecule: ribosomal RNA, 468 nt
Filed under: uncultured bacterium
Lineage: Bacteria
Description: partial 16S ribosomal RNA
Rfam family: Bacterial small subunit ribosomal RNA
Source: RNAcentral